AACGAACGCUGGCGGCAUGCCUAACACAUGCAAGUCGAACGAGACCUUCGGGUCUAGUGGCGCACGGGUGCGUAACGCGUGGGAACCUGCCCUUAGGUUCGGAAUAACUCCCCGAAAGGGGUGCUAAUACCGGAUAAUGUCUUCGGACCAAAGAUUUAUCGCCUUUGGAUGGGCCCGCGUUGGAUUAGCUAGUUGAUAGGGUAAAAGCCUACCAAGGCGACGAUCCAUAGCUGGUCUGAGAGGAUGAUCAGCCACACUGGGACUGAGACACGGCCCAGACUCCUACGGGAGGCAGCAGUGGGGAAUAUUGGACAAUGGGCGAAAGCCUGAUCCAGCAAUGCCGCGUGAGUGAUGAAGGCCUUAGGGUUGUAAAGCUCUUUUACCCGGGAUGAUAAUGACAGUACCGGGAGAAUAAGCUCCGGCUAACUCCGU
RNAcentral lists this ribosomal RNA (432 nucleotides) under uncultured bacterium. RNAcentral's name for it is "partial 16S ribosomal RNA". It matches the Rfam family "Bacterial small subunit ribosomal RNA", at positions 29 to 506 of the family's 1533-position model. The record is from RNAcentral.